RNAcentral lists this ribosomal RNA (253 nucleotides) under uncultured bacterium. Its description in RNAcentral is "partial 16S ribosomal RNA". It matches the Rfam family "Bacterial small subunit ribosomal RNA", at positions 524 to 776 of the family's 1533-position model. The record is from RNAcentral.
UACAGAGGUCUCAAGCGUUGUUCGGAUUCAUUGGGCGUAAAGGGUGCGUAGGUGGCAUGGUAAGUCGGAUGUGAAAUCCCGGGGCUUAACCCCGGAACUGCAUUCGAUACUGCCAGGCUAGAGUACUGGAGAGGAGAUUGGAAUUUACGGUGUAGCAGUGAAAUGCGUAGAUAUCGUAAGGAAGACCAGUGGCGAAGGCGGAUCUCUGGACAGUUACUGACACUGAGGCACGAAGGCCAGGGGAGCAAACGGG